CCCCUUGAAAUCACAACUGUCGAAAAUUGAGAUUACUAAGAGCUACCACCUCCAAUCAAAAUAAGGCAAAAAAUAAUAUCAAAAUGGUCAAAAUAUUGAAGAGCCAAAAACUUGAAAAUCCUCAUCUACCGAAAGCCGGAACCACGAGAUGACCGAAAACCCUCACCUAUUAAAAGUCGACACCACAUGAUGAUCGAAAACUUGAAACUUGAAAACCUCACCUACAGAACCAUGGGAUGACCAAAACCCAAAAACUCAAACCUACUGAAAGUCAGCACCACAUAUUAACUGAAAAUCCGCAAACCCUCACCUACUGAAAGCUAGCACCAUGAGAUCACUGAAAACUUGAAAUACUAGAGCAUCCAACACUUUUUCUCUCUUCAGAAGCCAAAAACCCGAAAACCCUCACCUAUAGAAACACGACACCACGAGAUGACCAAUAACUCGAAACACUAGAGUAGCCAAUAUCCUUUCUCCUUUCAAGAGCUGAAAACUCAAAAUGUCAUACAACUGAAACCGAUACUCCACAAAGACCGAAAACCCAA
RNAcentral lists this long non-coding RNA (545 nucleotides) under Manihot esculenta (cassava). Its description in RNAcentral is "long non-coding RNA (MESC_LNC006857)". The record is from RNAcentral. Lineage: Eukaryota; Viridiplantae; Streptophyta; Magnoliopsida; Malpighiales; Euphorbiaceae.